CGGGGUAGCGGUGCGCAUGCGCCAACCUCUCUCCGUGUCCUUCUCAGGUCGGAGUUUGGUUAGUUAGCCUGGGCUUGUACGUAGGAGGAAGUUGGGUGGGAUAGAGAAAGAGUGGGCGUGGUGUAUCCACGCGUGGAUAGAAUGGGAGAUAUAAUAGAAUGAGAGGUAGAAUAGAUAGCAUGGAAUUGGUGGAAUGGAAAGUAUGAGAAUACAACUGUAAUGUAAUGUGUCUUAACAUUAGAUUGUAUUUGAAUGUGUUUAUAUGUAUGCUUAUUUUAAUCUUAAUGUAACUGUUUAUGUUAUACUAGCUGUGCCCGGCCACGCGUUGCUGUGGCGAAGUAUGGUGGUAUGGGAAAUAAAGUAUUGAGGAAUUGGUGGUAGUUAAGGUAAAGGGUAAAGGUUUUCCCCUGACAUUAACUCCAGUCGUGUCUGACUCUGGGGGUUGAUGCUCAUCUCCAUUUCUAAGCCGACGUGCUAGCGUUGUCUGCGGACUCCUCCAAGAUCAUGUGGCCGGCAUGACUGCAUGGAGCACCGUUACUUUCCCGCCGGAGCAGUACCUAUUCAUCUACUUCCAUUUGCAUGUUUUCGAACUUCUGGGUUGGCAGAAGCUGGGGCUAACAGUGGGGGCUCUCUCCACUCCCCCAAUUCAAACCUGUGGCCUUUCGAUCCAGAAGUUCAGCAGCUCAGCGCUUUAACAUGCUGAGCAAUCAGGGGAUAUUAUUUCCUAAAGGUUGUGAAUAUACAAUAUUUCAGAUUUUUUUUUGUCUGUUGGAGGCAAGUAUGAAUGCUGCAAUUAGGGGAAAUGAUUAGCAGCUUUAAAGCCUGGCUGUUUCCUAUCUGAGUGAAUUUUUUGUUGGGAGGUGUUAGCUGGCCCAGAUUGUUUCCUGUCUGGAAUUCCCUUGUUUUCAGAGUGGUGUUGUUUGCGAUAUUAUAUGUGCUUCUACUGUCUGUGGCCCUCAGAAAACAGAGGAUUUGGCAGACUUUGGUGAUGGGAAUACUUUGUUGGGAGGUGUUAGCUGGCCCUGAUUGUUUACUGUGUGGAAUUCCCCUGUUUUCAGAGUGGUGUUGUUUGCGAUAUUUUAUGUGCUUCUACUGUCUGUGGCCCUCAGAAAACAGAGGAUUUGCCAGACUUUGGUGAUGGGAAUACUUUGUUGGGAGGUGUUAGCUGGCCCUGAUUGUUUCCUGCCUGGAAUUCCCUAGUUUUCAGAGUGGUGUUGUUUGCGAUAUUUUAUGUGCUUCUACUGUUUGUGGCCCUCAGAAAAGAGAGGAUUUGCCAGACUUUGGUGAUGGGAAUACUUUGUCGGGAGGUGUUAGCUGGCCCUAAUUGUUUACUGUGUGGAAUUCCCCUGUUUUCAGAAUGUUGUUAUUUAGUGUUCUGAUUUUAGAGAUUGUAUUGUUCUGUUUUAAUAUACCACAGAAAUUUUUAUAUAUUCUGAUUUUAGUGUUUUUGAAUACUUGGAGCCAGAUUGUAUUUAUUUUCACAGUUCACAGCAACACAAUAAUAAUAAUAAUAAUAAUGACUUUGGUAAUACACACUGCUUCACUCCCUUUUCAGCUUCCUUUAUGGAAGAAUUGUUUCUUGGGAGAUGUUAGCUGGCCCUGAUUGUUUCCUUUGUAGAAUUUCCAAUUUCCCUGCUUUCAGAGUGUUGUUCUUUAUUUACUUUCCUGGUUUUAGAGAUUAUAUUUUUCUGUAUUAUUCUAUCACAGUAAUUAUUUCAUAUUACAGUAGAAUCUCACUUAUCCAACAUUUGCUUAUCCAAUAUUCUGGAUUAUCCAACGCAGUCUGCCUUUUAGUACUCAGUGUUUUUGUAGUCAGUGUUUUAAAUUCAUUGUGAUAUUUUGGUGGUAAAUUUGUAAAUACAGUACAGUAGAGUCUCACUUAUCCAACAUAAACAGGCUGGCAGAACGUUGGAUAAGCGAAUAUGUUGGAUAAUAAGGAGAGAUUAAGAAAAAGCGUAUUAAACAUCAAAAUAGGUUAUGAUUUUACAAAUUAAGCACCAAAACAUAAUGUUAUACAACAAAUUUGACAGAAAAAGUAGUUCAAUAAGCAGUAAUGUUAUGUUGUAAUUACUGUAUUUACGAAAUUAGCACCAAAAUAUCACAUUAUAUUGAAAACAUUGACUACAAAAAUGUGUUGGAUAAUCCAGAACGUUGGAUAAGUGAGACUCUACUGUAAUUACUACAUAGCAUUACUGCGCAUGGAACUACUUUUUCUGUCAAAUUUGGAAAUCCCUCCCUAAAGAAGCCCAGGUGGCGCCUUCCUUGCUCUUCUUCUGAAGGCAGGUAAAUACACUCCUAUUUCAUUUCAAUUCUUUAUAGAUUGAUGACAGCUAGACUGCCAAUGCUGCAUGGUUCCAUUUUGAAGAUUUUUGAAGGAGUUCCAUAUAGUUUUUAAUGUAUUUUAAUGUUUUUAAUGUUUUAAUUUGUUAUCUGUUUUACUUGCUUUUUAGUCUUAUAUUUUCAUUAUGAUUUUUGUAUUGUUUGUAACUUGUAUUGUUUUUAAUAUGUUACUAUCUUCCUUGAAUCCAACUAUCAGGAGAAAUUUCCUGAUUAUGUGACUUUCAAUCGAAAAAACCUUUCUCAGAUUAAAAUAUUAACACAUCAUAUUUAUACAUGUUACUUUUACUGUUUUCAGUGAAAUAAAUAAAUAACCAAAGGAUAAUAAUAAUAAUAUCGUUUCUUCCUCUUAAGUAUGCUUACAUUUUUUUAGUCACACACACGAUUUUAGGUGUAUUUACAGGGAGAAAAGUCUCACAAUUCAAUGAGAUGUGUUGUUUCAAUAUAGAAAUUAAUACCUGAUUUUUCAAAACUUGGGGGAUCAGAGCUCUGAUAGUAUAAUCCUUAUUAUAUUGCAGUUCAAGAGAAAAUAUUGCUUCAUCUUUUGACAAUUCAGCUUUCUGUCACAAGGCUCUCCUCCCAACUUCUUUGAGAAUGCAUGAAAGUAAAAGCUAUGAUUCUCAGAGUUUUUAUCAGAGGGUAACUCAAAUUAUUUAAACAUUAUGAAUGGUACUGUGGAAACAACCGUGUCAGAUUUAUCUAAUGCAGUUUUCCAGGCAUUUCAUGUUGGUGACACACUUUUUGGACAUGCAUCAUUUUGUGACAUGGUAAUUCAGUUUUAUUAGCAAACCAGAGAUUAAAUCAACCCCUUAUAAGAGAUAUGGAUGCAUAUAUAUACUGUAAUCAUGAAAUGUAGGGGAACAUAAUGUAUCUCAUGAAAACCUUUCAUUUAUAUUUUUAAAAUAUAUGAUUUGUAAGAUAAUAUGUCAUAUCCCAUUCUGUUCACAUGACACACACACUGAAGCUGACACACUAAUGUGUAGCAACACAGAGUUUGGAAAGCUCUGACUUGUGAGAUAAACCUGGCAUAAGCUUACGUAUGGUACAAUGAGAAUCUUUGUUGUUUAUCCUGCAAAAGGCUAAUAUGGGUAAGAUUGACAAAUCAUAUACUUCAUUAGAACACACUUUUGUCAUUCCAGGAAAAAAAGGGGGAGUAGCUAAAUUCUCUGUCUUGAUCUUCUCAGAUUGACAGCAAUAACAAAAAGACUGUGUAGACAAUGGAAAGAUGUGCCUAAUGAACAUAAAUGUUGAUACUUGCCACUAGCCUUAGUAACUAUGUAUGACUCUCCUGAAUUUCCUUUACAGUUUCUGUAAAGACUUUCAGUUUCUCAGCAAAGCAGUAUCUUGUAUAACUUCUUUGGAACUGCUUGUUAAUCACGCUGGUGACCUUAGAUUGCCAUAUGUCUACUUCCUGAAGUAAAAUUUGAAUUCUAUUUAUGUGAUGAAACAUCAUGGAGACGUCAGAUUUGACAUUUUGACCUUUCAACUUGCAUUUUAUCAGUUUCUCAUAUUAAAGAUUUCUCUUUUGAAGUUAAAGAGAAUUGUGUUGGAGUUUCCUAGAAUUAAUAAUCAUAACAAUUACUAACAUUUUGGACCUAAAUGUGACACUUGGAUGAGGAAUUCAUGUCUGCUUCUAAAUCCACCUAUAGUAUGAUAUUGCUGAGGCGAUGAUGAUGACAGGGAAUUUGUCCAUGACUAUGGAAAGCAUUACCUUGUCCACACUGCCAAAGCCAAAGGCACCCAAUAACGUUUUUACCGUAACUUUCAUUCCACUUUCUUUAAACACAUGUAGCUGGUAACGAAAUAUAGCCUUGCUUUAUUUUUAUUUAGAUGGCUACAGUAAACAAAGUACAACAUUUUGAUAUAUUCCAUGCAAAUAGCAUAUACAAUUGUAUAUUCCAGGAGACUGAGAUGUGAUGUCUGUCUAUCUAUCUGUUCAUCAGAUGAUUUUUACAGAGCUCACAUCUUCAUUGGAAGUGAAACAUUGAUAUUGCUGUUGACCUGAAAAACAAAGCGAUAUCAAUACUGCAUUUGUAGUUGAAAUGUGUAUAUAUACAUUUAGCAUUUGUUUACAUUUAGCAAGUGCCUUAUCAACCUACAAAUCACAGAAUUCUAGAGCAUUGAGACAUAGCAGUUAAAAUGCUCUCACACUGUAUUUUGACCAUAUAGUUGCAUCUUUUGACAGCCAGAAUAUACAAAACAAUCAGAUUAUUCAACAAAUGUGGAGAAGAUUCUAGUAGUAAUAUAAUGAUUACAGUGCACCCCUGGUAAGCUUGGUAAGUAUUUUGUAAACCUUAUGCUACUCAGAAGGGGAAAUUCUAUGCCUUGUAUGGUCUGGAUGCUAAAGUCAAAAGAGUGGAGGAAAUGUCUCUUAAUAUUAAUUAGUAAAUGGCACAAACAAGCAUAUUUUCUUUAUAGUUUAUAGUUGACCUUUUUUUGGUUCUCCCUUAAAAUGCCACUGUGUAUCGCAAAUAACAGACAGAAUGCAGGUCAGAUGAAGAAAUCUAUGUUUGAGCACUGAGAUUUCUCUUGCCAUCUUGAUCUCCAGCUUGAAAUAAAUCAGAAAGAUCUUGUAUAUCCUGACUAUCUUUUACAUUCUUUAGAUACUGUAACACAUUUGUUUUCCUCAUUGCACUCAAAGGUGCCUCUUCCAGCCGUCCCAACAACAGUUGUUUUAUCACAUCUGAUAUCUCUUCCCUUCUGAUGUUAUCGUAGAUAUCAGCAGGGUCUUGGUUCUUUGGUGAAGUCCACAUAAUAUGUGCUCGGGAUACGUGCCCUCGGUCAGUGGCGGUAUGCACUCCCAUCAUGGCAUUGUGCAGCCACAUCAGCCUCUUUAAUCCUUGAAGAGCCCCCCCUCUGUCAUUCAGGAGUUGAUGCUCUGUCACUGCUCUUUUGCUGAAAUUUGAGAAGCAAAUGUUGUUGGAAGAGACAACAAAGGCCACCCAGUAGUGCAGUAGUAUAUUCAAUGCUUCUCUGUGUACCCUAUUUUCUAGUAGAAAUACCAUACUUCUCACAGAAAAAUAUGAACAGAAUUACCAAUACUUUUAAAAAUUAGGAAAUUAAACAUAGAAAGGAGUAGUACUCAGCCUUACUGAAAUGUCUGGCACUAUCUACUGACUUGCAUAAGCAUUACAUGGUAUGUCUGGGGGCUAAACUGGAAGUACAUGGACCACUAUUGACCUGUAUAAAAUCUGAUCCCUGUAUUCAUUACUUUUAAUAUAAAGGAUAAAGGCAGGACAUGAAUAAAUAAAUAGAAAAUUGAUAAAUACACCCAGAAACCCAAUGGGAAUAUGCCGCUGUCUUCUCAGUCACUAUAAGACACCUCUUUCUACGUUUUUAUCUAGAAUGAAAUUUUUCAAGACUGCCACAUCUUCAUGCAGAUCUGGAAGUGAGUUUUACUAGCUAUUACCUCAUGUACAGGAUCGCAGUAUAAAUCUGCAUACACCUAUUCUGAAAUAUUCUCUGAAUUAAGAAUGACCUUUCCAAUAAGAGUGUAUAGAUUGUUACUGUCAAUGGGUCCCGCAUCAUAAAUUUUAAUGUCCCUUGUUAACGCAUUUAGACAUUUUCUGAAACUUUCUGCUGUCAUUUAUCAGUAAAUUUUGCAUCCAAAAGGCAAAGUAAUAAAAACACUACAUUCAAAUAAUCCCAUUCAGAAUUGUAUCUAAAAUAUUUCUUACUUUUCAGAUUCUUGACAUGUUGCAAAGCAAGCAAGCAAAAAAAUGGACAAAACUUUCACCAUUGCAUCCACCCAAACAUCCAAUUCACGAUGGAAAAAGAAAAGGAAGGAAAACUGCAAUUUCUAGAUGUUCUGGUCAUCCGCAAACCCAAUCAACAAUUGGGCCACAUAGUUUACAGAAAACCUACACACACAGAUACCUUCAUAAAAACUCCCAACCAUCACCCAAGUCAAAAAGAAGCACAAUCAAAUCCCUGACAGACCGUGCACAAAGAAUCUGCGAACCUCACCUCCUCCAAGGUGAACUAAACCACCUAAACUGGGCUCUACAGGCCAAUGGAUACUCCACCACAGACAUCAGAAGAGCUGCACACAGCCCGAAAGACAUACAACAACCCUGUGAUCCCGGCCAUGAAAGACUUCAACAACACAACAAACUCUCUCUCUCUUUCUCUCUCUCUGAGUAUAUGGCAUUGUGUUUCACCUGUAUGUUUUAACUUUGUUGUAUCCCAUUCCCAUCUCGAGCCAUGGGGAAAGAAAACAAAAUCAUCAUUUAAACCUUUUUGUCUUAUAUGGAUAAAAAGUGUGAUACAUAAUAAAUAAAUGUAAUAAAAAUAAAGCAUUAAGACUCAAAUAAGCCUUGUAGGCUAUCCA
Long non-coding RNA from Anolis carolinensis (green anole), 6667 nucleotides. RefSeq lists it as uncharacterized. The transcript has 2 exons. The record is from RefSeq and is a predicted model, not a curated record. NCBI's taxonomy places the organism in Eukaryota, Metazoa, Chordata, Lepidosauria, Squamata, Anolidae.